CUGCUAUCGGAUUGAUACUAAGCCAUGCGAGUCUUUGUAGUAAUACAAGGCAGACGGCUCAGUAACACGUAGUCAACCUACCCUAUGGACAAGAAUAAUCUCGGGAAACUGGGCAUAAUUCUUGAUAGAUCAUAAUGCCUGGAAUGGUUUAUGGUUAAAAUGAUUCGUCGCCAUAGGAUGGGACUGCGGCCUAUCAGCUUGUUGGUGAGGUAAUGGCCCACCAAGGCGAUUACAGGUACGGGCUCUGAGAGGAGAAGCCCGGAGAUGGGUACUGAGACACGGACCCAGGCCCUAUGGGGCGCAGCAGGCGAGAAAACUUUGCAAUGUGCGAAAGCACGACAAGGUUAAUCCGAGUGAUUUCUGCUAAAGAAAUCUUUUGCCAGUCAUAAAACCACUGGUGAAUAAGGGGUGGGCAAGUUCUGGUGUCAGCCGCCGCGGUAAAACCAGCACCUCAAGUGGUCAGGAUGAUUAUUGGGCCUAAAGCAUCCGUAGCCGGCUUUGUAAGUUUUCGGUUAAAUCCAUGUGCUCAACGCAUGGGCUGCCGAAAAUACUGCAUGGCUAGGGAGUGGGAGAGGUAGACGGUACUCAGUAGGAAGGGGUAAAAUCCUUUGAUCUAUUGAUGACCACCUGUGGCGAAGGCGGUCUACCAGAACACGUUCGACGGUGAGGGAUGAAAGCUGGGGGAGCAAACCGGAUUAGAUACCCGGGUAGUCCCAGCUGUAAACGAUGCAGACUCGAUGAUGCAUUGGCAUAAUAGCUAGUGCAGUGUCGCAGGGAAGCCGUUAAGUCUGCCGCCUGGGAAGUACGUACGCAAGUAUGAAACUUAAAGGAUUGGCGGGGGAGCACCACAAGGGUGAAGCUGCGGUUCAUUGGAGUCA
This 878-nucleotide ribosomal RNA is filed under the name uncultured marine group I thaumarchaeote. RNAcentral's name for it is "SSU rRNA". It matches the Rfam family "Archaeal small subunit ribosomal RNA", at positions 27 to 914 of the family's 1478-position model. The record is from RNAcentral. Lineage: Archaea; Thermoproteati; Nitrososphaerota.